This 406-nucleotide ribosomal RNA is filed under the name uncultured bacterium. RNAcentral's name for it is "partial 16S ribosomal RNA". It matches the Rfam family "Bacterial small subunit ribosomal RNA", at positions 30 to 526 of the family's 1533-position model. The record is from RNAcentral.
AUUGAACGCUGGCGGCAGGCCUAACACAUGCAAGUCGAACGAGUGGCAGACGGGUGAGUAAUGUCUGGGAAACUGCCUGAUGGAGGGGGAUAACUACUGGCAACGGUAGCUAAUACCGCAUACUGUCAUUUGUUCCCCGAUGGGAUUAGCUUGUUGGUGGGGUAACGGCUCACCAAGGCGACGAUCCCUAGCUGGUCUGAGAGGAUGACCGGCCACACUGGAACUGAGACACGGUCCAGACUCCUACGGGAGGCAGCAGUGGGGAAUAUUGCACAAUGGGCGGAAGCCUGAUGCAGCCAUGCCGCGUGUAUGAAGAAGGCCUUCGGGUUGUAAAGUACUUUCAGCGGGGAGGCGUUACCCGCAGAAGAAGCACCGGCUAACUCCGUGCCAGCAGCCGCGGUAAUAC